This is a long non-coding RNA of Xiphophorus couchianus (Monterrey platyfish), 1355 nucleotides long. RefSeq lists it as uncharacterized. Lineage: Eukaryota; Metazoa; Chordata; Actinopteri; Cyprinodontiformes; Poeciliidae. The record is from RefSeq and is a predicted model, not a curated record. The transcript is spliced from 2 exons.
GGGAUCUACAGAGAGACUGCAAUGCUAGCACUCAACACCAUCUGUCUCGGUUUACUCGGGUCUAAGAGCUGUUGUGGGACAAAAAUCCAGUGACACUGUUGGAUGAAAAUUCCUCAGUCAGAUUUAUUUAUACCAUAAGCAGGAUUUGACAGUUUACAAAACAGUUAACCAUGAGCAGGUAACUAAAAAUAACUCUACUAGGAGGCCGAUAAGAGAGAUUUUUAGGGACAGUAAAAGGUUGAACAAAAUCAAUACUGAAAAUGAUGUGAAGGUGUGGAUUUUUGCUUUACUGAAGGUCAUUCAGCAAAACCCCUUCAGUGAGUUUGCUCUGACAAAUUACCCACUGGGAAAGCAAAACAUCAUAACAACUAUCAGGCUAAUAAAGUCAAACUAUAUUACCCUAUAACAGAAAAAUGCCACCACAGACCAUUGCGCUUAACAGGAAGCCAGCUUUUUUUAUAUAGGUUUUAUUGACUUUAAUGGCUUUUAUUUGAAAGUGGUUAGACAGGAAAGUGGGUAAUGAGAAAGCGGGAAGACAAGGGGCAAAGGUCAUCUGGCUGCGAAUGGAACCUGUGGCGGCCGCAUCGAGAACUAAGGCCUCCAUGUUUGGGUUGUGCUUUACCCCUGAGUUAUCAAAAACUUUUAGAUCUCAAGUUUUACUCACUAGUCCAGCUCUGAUUGGCUGUUCAGUCCAACAUGACGCCUCUCAAUAAUCUAACAUUAGUAGACAUGAAAACAAAAAACUAAAUAAUUACCACAAAUAAACUGAGAGUUUACGCAAUAUUUUUAUGACUGAUUUUGAAUAAUGUGAUUAAUUUUUCUGAGCUAGAGCAGCAAUGGAAAUGAGCAUAAAAAAUUUUAAUCUGAUUAUUAAUAGAAGUGUCUGAAAUGUUAAUAAAUGCAGUCAUUUUUACAGCUUUGCUGAAGCUUUGUUUGUACACUACGGAACGAAAGCAAAGCACACUAAAAACAUGGGUUCAGUUUACUAAUAAUAGUAAUACCAUUUUAUACAUAAAUUGAAAAGAAAAGAAGCAUUUAAUACAUGAUUUAGUAUGACAGAGUGAAAAUGUGAUUGGGAAAAUAGUUCAUGGUUUUAAGCGCGGUUAAGAAAACCGAUUUAUGGACUGGCUUUUUCUUAAAAGAAGCCAGUCCAUAAAUCGGUUUUCUGUAAGAGGCAUUCUAGAUUUUUCACAAUGGUGCCACAUUGAAGCAUGGUAGUGGCAGUGUCAUAGUUUGGUAAUUUUUUCAGCAGGACCUGGAAAGUUGCUCAGAAUUUGAGAAAUGGAAUAAGAAGCUAAAUACAAAACUACUAAAAAAUAAUAAUCAACACUAAUUUCUCUUCAGUCCUGAUUUUU